UACGGGGGGUGCAAGCGUUACUCGGAAUCACUGGGCGUAAAGAGCAUGUAGGCGGAUUAAUAAGUUUGAAGUGAAAUCCUAUAGCUUAACUAUAGAACUGCUUUGAAAACUGUUGAUCUAGAAUGUGGGAGAGGUAGAUGGAAUUUCUGGUGUAGGGGUAAAAUCCGUAGAGAUCAGAAGGAAUACCGAUUGCGAAGGCGAUUUACUGGAACACAAUUGACGCUGAGAUGCGAAAGCGUGGGGAGCAAACAGGAUUAGAUACC
RNAcentral lists this ribosomal RNA (263 nucleotides) under uncultured bacterium. RNAcentral describes it as "partial 16S ribosomal RNA". It matches the Rfam family "Bacterial small subunit ribosomal RNA", at positions 524 to 786 of the family's 1533-position model. The record is from RNAcentral.